AGACGCUUCCGGUGCAGGAGCUGGUUCUCUCGGCGGGCGAGGGCCUGGCCGCUUUAGCAGUGUUGGCGUUGGGUGGGAGGCAGCUCCGGGACCACGUGAGCCACUGGCAUCGUGCCCGCCGCGGCUGUAGGCAGCGACACGUCUUUUCUGGAGGUUUCUCAGCCAAAGGGAAGGGCGCAAACCACAUUUCCGAAAGGUAAUCUACCGCGGCCGGUGGGCUCGGCGCUCCGCUCCCGCAGCUCCUGGUCCUGCGGUCGCCGCCUCACUCGCCGCCGCGCGUGCUUGCGGCGUCUGCGCCUUCCUCGGAGGCAUUGGCCCCCUCACUCCUUCCCCCAUGGUGUCUGUGGUGUUCCUUGGUUUCUCCCCAUCUUUUUAAAAGCGAGCCUCUGGCCAUUGCUCCUUGGAUGGAAUUCGGAGGAACUGCUUUAAGAUGGGAAUGGCAGUGCUGCAGACGGCCCUUAAGUAGAUGGAGCCUCCACAUUUCCUCAGGUUAUUUUGACACAGGAAAUGUGAGUAAUGAAAACUAAGUUUGUGUGAAAUAACCCAACAGUGCCGCCUCCAGAUCUGACAGCGAAAGUCGGUUUCGCUUAUUUCCGGGACUCGCAAAGGGCGCUCAGCUAUUUCCUGAGAAUUCUCUUCUAAGAGCUUUGAGAGUUUGCUCAGAUGUGCGGUGAAUUUCUUUUACUCCCGAGACCUUCCUCUCCAUCUCAUACCUCAUUAGCCAGUGAGGUGUUUCCUGAGGAGUUCAUCGAACAUCUGCGUUGGAGUUGCCAGUUCACUUCCUGAGGAGUUCAUCGAACACCUUCAUUGGACUUGCCAGUUUGCUGCCUGCCCUAUGGAAUUUGCACUCGUGCAUAGCCACAGUUGGACAGAAGGAGCACGUUUGCUACAGCCAAGAGGGACACUUUGAAGAAUCUACAGGAGC
Molecule: long non-coding RNA, 925 nt
Organism: Choloepus didactylus (southern two-toed sloth)
Lineage: Eukaryota; Metazoa; Chordata; Mammalia; Pilosa; Megalonychidae
Exons: 3
Source: RefSeq, a predicted model, not a curated record